Molecule: long non-coding RNA, 436 nt
Filed under: Selaginella moellendorffii
Lineage: Eukaryota; Viridiplantae; Streptophyta; Lycopodiopsida; Selaginellales; Selaginellaceae
Description: long non-coding RNA (SMOE_LNC001139)
Source: RNAcentral
UCAACUGGGCCAAACCGUCGAUAAUCACCACUAGAUAGAAAGCAUGAAAUUGUGAGUUCUGAAACAACUAUGCAUAGCUUCAGAUAAAGAACAGUUUAUUAAUUCAACCAUUUGUGCUUGUACAUGCUACUGAUCAAUAGCAAGGGCCAACAAAUGGAGGAGUGCUGUAGCAGAUCCCGGGAUUGCAGCAGAAGGGCAUGCUAGAUGGGCACUGUGAACUACUUGUGCAUCUCCGGUCCUGAGCACUAGCGACUUCCACAAAGCAAAUUACUACUAGAGCAGCAACCAGCGCAAACAAAACCGCGAACUUCGACAUUGUGAAACCAAGAUGAUUAUUCCUCUUGCAGCCCACCUAUUUAUGAACCAAGUAUUUCUAUCACGAAUGCCUAAAGGUCGGUCAAGAUUAACAUACGCAGUGCCUUCGAGGAACAUGAUA